UGUGACCGCCACGAUUGGAAUUUCAUCAUCAAUCAUCAAUUUUUAACUAUGUGUUAUCUUCCCCAUUUUUUCUCUUGUUCUUUGUUUUUACCGACUGCAGCUUGUUGCCGGGGUCAAGUUUUAGUCUGUGUCAGGUGCUACCAUUGGCCACUGGCCUCGGUUCCACACCAUGGCCAAAUGACAAGGAGAGAGAAAAGGGGCUUGAGAUAUCCUAUUUUAAAGAAGAUGAAGAAGAGAGUGAGAGGGCUACCUCUCUUCUCCUUUCUUCUUUUUUUAUUUAAAUUUCUCUCUCUCUCUCUCUCUCUCUAACUACGUUAAGGAAUUUAUGGGG
Molecule: long non-coding RNA, 331 nt
Filed under: Elaeis guineensis (African oil palm)
Lineage: Eukaryota; Viridiplantae; Streptophyta; Magnoliopsida; Arecales; Arecaceae
Description: long non-coding RNA (EGUI_LNC049714)
Source: RNAcentral